GGGUUUGGUUCAAUCCCAGAUAUUGGGUUUUUCAUGUAGAGUUUUUUUUUUAGUUUUUUUGGGUUCGGAUUCUCUCAAGUUUGAGUUUUUUUUUAUUUUAAUCUUUUCAAGUUAUGGUUUUUGACUUUUUGGUCAAAUCAAGCUUAAGCAGGCUCAUACUCAAGUCUCUCAAGUCGGGUUUCAAAGCUUAGGCAUAUUUUGCCACCUCUACUUAUACUUUAAAAAUUUUGAAAGUUCACUCCAAUAGCCUUAACUCCAUUAACUAAAAUGUUAAUUUUUUUUAGUAUUAUGUGAAAAUAACAAACUAACAAAAUAUGGU
RNAcentral lists this long non-coding RNA (319 nucleotides) under Gossypium raimondii (Peruvian cotton). Its description in RNAcentral is "long non-coding RNA (GRAI_LNC008869)". The record is from RNAcentral. Lineage: Eukaryota; Viridiplantae; Streptophyta; Magnoliopsida; Malvales; Malvaceae.